CAAGCCUCCAUGUUGGUGCCACGUCUAUCCAAGGCUGUCGUCCUGGAGAUGAUGAUAUAACAGCACGAAGACAUUAAAAGAGACGUGCCUGGGCAGAGCUAAACACCCUAGCUAUCAGGUCAAGUUAUAUAAGCCAUUAAGAGACAACCUGCUGAAUUGUGUCCAGAGCCUCGUCUUCUACCUACACCUUCCCAGAACACAAAGUAGAAAGGUGCCGGUUCGCUUUUCUAUGCUACUUUUUACAGAUUUAACUAGCUACAGAAGCAGAUGCAAACAUGUCUUUCUACAAAUUAGAAGAGCUUGAACUGCUCUUACUACUCAGGAGGAGAAAUCAAAAAACAAGGGAGAAAAUGAAAUGUUCGUUCACUGAACACUACGAGAGGGCAGUGUGACCAUAUCCAGGUUCUUCUGGCCUUGAUGUGCACAACAACCUCAAGGACUACUUCCUCACACCACCUGUUCCAGUGUCUUUCCAUUAUACUGCUAUCACAGUGGCACCCUCCAGUAAAUGUUCAUGUUGGUGUGGUUUGGAAAAUAUGUUCCCUACCUCUGGGUGAUGACUGUUUAUAUGUCAUGUUGUGAGCUUGACACUUGGUUUUGCAGUUUUUCUUAUUCACACUUAACAUAUCACAAUAAAGGGUAAAGUGCCAAUGUCAGUAUGCAUUGGUGGGGAUAUUUAAGACCAACCGAAAGCUAGUUUUAGUGGUAACAUGGUUGGUUAUGUUAUGGAUUUUGACAACGGAAGCACAGCCAACUUUUUUUAUUCUAAUUUAGUUAAAUUUUCUUUAAAAAACCAAGCAUAGCCUCCCCUCCUUUUAAUAAAGGCAUUUUGUUGUCCUGCCCAAUGCAUUCGCCAAGUAGUCAAGACUAUCAAUAAAGGGUUUGGCUUGUGAGACCGCUUUUAAAUAAAUCUUAAUCACCAAAGCUUUAAUCAAAGAUCAAGUUUGGCAGCAGCAAAACAGUGAGAGAACAUCCCCUUUUUUAUCUAUGUGGGCCCUCCAUACUUAACUGGCAGACAAUGACCUAUUUUUUUUUUUCAACCCCAAGUAUCAUAUAAACACACAUACAGUAAGACAUGGAAGAAUGCAUAAAAUGGCAGGAAAUUAGAUUAAAACAGCAACAACAAAGAAACUGCCUCACGCAAAAUGUGCAGAAUUGCGGGAAAUGAGCUUAAAAUCUACAACAUUUUCUCUCUGCCAACAAGAGGGGUGUGAACAGUUUGGGGUCGCAUGGGUUGCGAGGUGGGGGUUUGUUACUAUCCAUCUAGACCUUUGCCUCCUCUGAAAUGUGUGUGACCCGGACCUUCUCAAAUAGUACUCGAUUACCCCUGAUGUAGGCUAUUAUAUUAUUUUUUGCCAGCUCCUGUUAUUAUAUAACCUUCUUAUUACCAGCUAGUUUGAUUUGAAUGAUGCAGCAACAACACCUUGUCGGCUUUUCGGCCUCCUGCGCCGGUUCCUAGAGGGAAGUGGACUGCGUGAUGCAGAGGCUCUCCUUGCAGGGGGAUUUUUAUCACUACCGCUGAGCUGUGGUGGUCUUACUAGCGCCUUUACAGUCGCCGAAUCAUCACCCAGGCGGGUGCUACGUUUCAGUCGUGGACGAUCCAGCCUGAUCUACGGAGGAGGUGGUGUGAACAUCGAAGACGACGAGGUGCCGUGGCCGUCAGAUGUCUUUCCCUGCCUGGCUGUACCAUCAAUGCUCCCUCCUCUCAAGAUACUACCUCUCUGAACUGACUAUUAUCUUAAGCUGUGGAAGAUCAUCGCUCAAUAACUGGCAGAUCUUCCUACAUUUCUUUUGUUAAAGUGUUUUCAUGUUUUGUUUUUAAAGCAACUUUGAGACUCAACCUGUAAUGAAAGGCACUGUAUAAAAUACUAUUAUGAUUUUGGAAGUGUGUAAAAACUCCUCCAUAUAGGAUAUAUGCCCAUCGUGAGAUAGAUGAGAUAAUCCGGUGACACUCCUAUUUUGAAACAUGUAAGUUAUUUUCCUGUAACAAUUGCUUUUUUUCUAUUUCCUUUGUUAAAAAUGAGGCUACCCUUACCCUACCAUAACAAAAGCUGGUUCAACAGCAAUGCGUCUGGUGUAUUUCUUAUCCUGGUCAUGCAUUAGCCAAGUGACCUAUACGUAAAAUGUUUCUAAAUUAUACUCAUAAAGCUUUUGCUGACGUGCUUUUGCAUGAUUCACAAUUCACAUGGGCCUACCUGCAGUGCAUGCUCCUUCCGGCUUGUAUCAUUCCCAUUUCCAAAGGGCACCUCUUGUCUGGUUACCAAAGAUGAGCUCCUCCAAACAUAUUUGACUUAUUCAGUCCUCUAAUGCAGUAUCAACGGUAGGCCUAGCCUGUAUCUUGCUUCUUGAGAACGUACCUCACAUAUGCAAUGCAAUUUACGGGAGCAUAGUAUUUUUUUUAUUUGAGGAGAAGUGCGAUGAGUGACAAAGACCUAUAGUCAUUGAAGCUAAUUACAACAAUGUAAACAUAUUGAGCAAACACUGGGUGUUUUGUUUUUACUGUUGCUCUCACUCAUUACUGUGGCCUAUGCUAUUUAACAAACUGUAGUAUCAAUCCACAAUGAACUAGGACAGAAUAGUCCAUGCCUCCAGCCAAAUUGUACUCGAUGGCAAUGCAAAGACCGUAAAUA
Oncorhynchus gorbuscha (pink salmon) is the source of this 2630-nucleotide long non-coding RNA. RefSeq lists it as uncharacterized. The record is from RefSeq and is a predicted model, not a curated record. Lineage: Eukaryota; Metazoa; Chordata; Actinopteri; Salmoniformes; Salmonidae. The transcript has 3 exons.